RNAcentral lists this ribosomal RNA (635 nucleotides) under Agalinis fasciculata. Its description in RNAcentral is "eukaryotic LSU rRNA". The stretch from base 241 to 396 matches the Rfam family "5.8S ribosomal RNA". Lineage: Eukaryota; Viridiplantae; Streptophyta; Magnoliopsida; Lamiales; Orobanchaceae. The record is from RNAcentral.
UUUCCGUAGGUGAACCUGCGGAAGGAUCAUUGUCGAAUCCUGCAAAAGCAGACCGCGAACACGUUAAACCACAUCUGGAUCUUGGGUCGGGGGCAACCCCAACCCUCGCUCCCCUCCCGCAGCGUGCGCUGCGGAUAACGAACCCCGGCGCGGCAUGUGCCAAGGAAAACUCAUAGAAGCACCCGCCUCCCGUCGCCCCGUACGCGGUGCGCGGUGGGGGGUGUAUCUCAAUGUCAUAACGACUCUCGGCAACGGAUAUCUCGGCUCUCGCAUCGAUGAAGAACGUAGCGAAAUGCGAUACUUGGUGUGAAUUGCAGAAUCCCGUGAACCAUCGAGUCUUUGAACGCAAGUUGCGCCCGAAGCCUUUCGGCCGAGGGCACGCCUGCCUGGGCGUCACGCAUCGCGUCGCCCCCCCUCCCAUUCGCUGGAUAUUGGCCCCCCGUGCGCAGCGCUGUGCGGCCGGCCUAAAUGCGAACCCGUGGCGACUCACGUCACGACCAGUGGUGGUUGAAUGCUCAACUCUCGUGCUGUCGUGUCGUGAGUCGCACGUCGGGCAACGUGGUAGACCCAAUGGAGCAAUUGGUUGCGCCUUCGACCGCGACCCCAGGUCAGGCGGGAUUACCCGCUGAGUUUAA